AAACAGAGGGCUGAACCUUCAAGCAGAGGCGUCUGACCUGUGGGGCAGUUUGGACCAAUAUUUCCAAAAGGGCUAUCGCCAUCAUCUCAUCCACAGGAUAACAUGAUCGUGCUUGCCUCAGGCAAUCAACACAUUAAUCGUUCUCUAGAGGCUGUCCAGCUGACCGGAAGAGAUCCUGAGGAUUUAAUAUCGCAUCAAUAUUUUGAAGAACAACCACCAUUUCACCAGGACGCUUGCCUCAACUGCUGACGGCUGUGGAGAGGUCUAGUGCUCAACCAGCGGACAGAGAUCCAGGAUUCUCACUGGGUCGCAACCACAGGAGAACCAGUUCCAGUUCUGAGAAUCCACACCUGUGAGCCUGUAGGGCUUCCAGUGAAGGAUUUCCAUCGGCACACUCAAACAGACCCAGGUCCAGAUCGUCCAGGUGCCCUCAGUGUUGCAGAACUACACGUCAGCAGUUGGUUCUGAUGUCUAGAGCCUUUAGGCUCAUGUCAGAAAUUAGGUGUAAACUAUGACAAUUUGUAAAUGUGAGUUGUAAAUGUGAUUUGUAAACUGUU
Siniperca chuatsi (mandarin fish) is the source of this 557-nucleotide long non-coding RNA. RefSeq lists it as uncharacterized. The record is from RefSeq and is a predicted model, not a curated record. NCBI's taxonomy places the organism in Eukaryota, Metazoa, Chordata, Actinopteri, Centrarchiformes, Sinipercidae. The transcript has 3 exons.